This 118-nucleotide non-coding RNA is filed under the name Limosilactobacillus frumenti. RNAcentral describes it as "Lactobacillus frumenti FMN sequence". It matches the Rfam family "FMN riboswitch aptamer (RFN element)". From Rfam's summary of the family: The RFN element is a highly conserved domain that is found frequently in the 5'-untranslated regions of prokaryotic mRNAs that encode for flavin mononucleotide (FMN) biosynthesis and transport proteins. This element is a metabolite-dependent riboswitch that directly binds FMN in the absence of proteins. In Bacillus subtilis, the riboswitch most likely controls gene expression by causing premature transcription termination within the 5' untranslated region of the ribDEAHT operon and precluding access to the ribosome-binding site of ypaA mRNA. RNAcentral also lists the same sequence under 1 other name. Lineage: Bacteria; Bacillati; Bacillota; Bacilli; Lactobacillales; Lactobacillaceae. The record is from RNAcentral.
AGGUGUCUUCAAGGUCGGGUGUAAUUCCCAACCGGCGGUAUAGCCCGCAACCCGCGUCAACGGUGGAUCUGGUUAAAUUCCAGGGCCGACAGUAUAGUCUGGUAUAUAGAAGAUUUCU